AUAUGAAUUUAUGUAUCAAUCAAUGACCAAAGGAUAAAGUUCUAUUUUUCUACCUCUGUUUUCUCUUUGGAAAAUAGUCAUGUUUAAAAAAGCUGCCUUCUGAUUCCAGGCCACCUUGAGUCUGUUUCUUCCAGACAUGGGGCAGCGAGUAAUUAGAUACACUCCUCAAGCAACUUUCUAUGAAAGUAGGCAGCGUACUGUAGUGGAGAGAAAGUUGGAGCCAGAAGACUUGAAUUUGAAUCUGAACUCAGCAUUUUUAACAAGUGGAAAAUGUACAAGAAUGAAGCCCUCAAACCAAGAGAAGGAUAAAAGCAAGUAUAGAAAGACUUCAUUUCUCUGAAUUUGUUAGGGAAUGGAAAGUGAUGUGUCAUUAUAAAAAUGUUAAGAGUAGGAGAAAAUCCUGGGCCUAAACUUUGGAUCCAAAUGGGAACUAAGAACCUAAAACAUGUCCUAGAACCUAAAACAUAUCCUAGAAUGGGUUUCACAGCCCAGGAUGUCAGUAGCAGAUUAAUUUCGUUAACUCCAGAGAAAUUUGGACAGUAGAAUAUAAAAUUGAACUGGAAGUAAACUUAGAAUAGAAAUCGGAGAAUAUCUCUAGUCCAGCAGCUGUCAAAAUAUGACUACCAGUGAGCUUUCAAUGGUUUUUCACAUGUUAAAUAAAAAUUUAUUAAAUCUUUAUUUAAAAAGCUAA
This 691-nucleotide long non-coding RNA is filed under the name Monodelphis domestica (gray short-tailed opossum). Its description in RNAcentral is "lncRNA (ENSMODG00000043986.1)". The record is from RNAcentral. Lineage: Eukaryota; Metazoa; Chordata; Mammalia; Didelphimorphia; Didelphidae.